GACACGACUCUCGACAAUGGAUAUCUUGGCUCUUGCAUCGAUGAAGAGCGCAGCGAAAUGCGAUACGUGGUGCGAAUUGCAGAAUCCCGCGAACCAUCGAGUCUUUGAACGCAAGUUGCGCCCGAGGCCAGUCGGCCAAGGGCACGUCCGCCUGUGCGUCAAGC
This 164-nucleotide ribosomal RNA is filed under the name Gomesa macropetala. RNAcentral's name for it is "5.8S ribosomal RNA". It matches the Rfam family "5.8S ribosomal RNA". Rfam says of the family: 5.8S ribosomal RNA (5.8S rRNA) is a component of the large subunit of the eukaryotic ribosome. The record is from RNAcentral. Lineage: Eukaryota; Viridiplantae; Streptophyta; Magnoliopsida; Asparagales; Orchidaceae.